CAAUGCCAGGAUUUCCAUGCCACUGUUUUGGCAAAGGCAAGAGAAGACUUCCCUACUGGUUCCUGCUACAGAGUAAUACAUCAUAGAUAUUUGGGGCCACAGAAUAUCCUGACUUGGAAGGGAACGACAGGGAUCAUCGAGUCCAAGUCCUGACUUUGCACAGGGCACCCUAAAAGUCAAACCUUAUAUCUGAGAGCAUUGCCCAAAGACUUCUUCAACACCGGCAGGUUUGGGUCUUGAUCACUUCCCUGGGAAGCUUGUUCCAGUGCUUUUUCACCCUUCUCAAUUUCUGCAGGGAUCUAAAGCAUGGGAGAGGCAGUUCCACCAGGUGUAUAUGGAUAACAAGAGCCUUCCUUGCUCCCCGUCAGUUGGAAUAACUGCUUGUAGAAAAGAAGUGCUAAAACCUAAGUGGGGUGGAAAAAUUUUCAGUAGCUCAUUCAGAUGGAAUUCACUGUGUUCAGAAGAAAAACGAGCACCUCAGACAAAGAAAAAGGAAAGAACCAGGAGCAUUUACACAAGGUGAGAUGCUGUACGGAGGCAUCAAAUUACUAAUGCAGAGCUAAGAACAAGGAGAAAGUACAUGUACUUUGAAAAACGAGGUGCUGAAGCAAGUCAUUCACCAAGUCUCCUUCAUCUCUCACAAACAUCAGAAUAACUGUCAAAGUUUCCAAGGUUGCAAACCAGUUUGGUUUCUGGCAUCUGGUACGUUAAGGUAAAUAUAUAAGCACAGCGAGUGGGACAUACUGCAGAGACCCCUGAGCUUGUACCCAAAAAGCUGGCUCCCAAACUGGGAGUAGAUCUCACCUGAUGGGUCUGUGCCUCCCUUUGAUGCUGCACCUGAACCAACUGCCUCUUCUGCCAGGCAGUGAUGUUAAGCUACCACAGCUCUAAUGCUCCUGGCAUUUAUUUUAGCACGGUGGCACAUUGUACUGCCCAGAUGUUCUGGCUUUUCUGCAGAUAGCUGCGGGUAUGAGUAUCUGAUUCAUCACAUAGGCAAAUAUUCCCUAAAAGCACAAAAAGGUCUUUCUUCCACAGAAAACUUCCAGUUUUGCCGCGGAGUUUAUAGAAGACAAAAUAAGACCUUUGAAGCCGAGGGAUGCUUAUGGGGGAGCAGUGUUUAACUACCUUUUUGAUGUUUUUUGGAAUUUCUUACUGGAAAGUGUGUUGCAUGAGAGUGCAAUUAAUAGGACGUUGCCUUUCAAAGAAAAGGCAGAGACUAAUGAGUCAAACCAAAAUGAUGGAUUGCACAGGCAAGGACAAGAUGCAUUUGCCUGGUGUUGCAGAGGAAUAGCUGGGGGACCUGUGAGCACCGGGAUAAGAUAAACUCAACAGGUUUGUUUAAUUAUUAUAGGCAUGAAUGAGUAAAAAGCAUUAAGUAGGCAGGUGCAAAACAUUGUAAUAGGAAUGUCAGGAGUAUACUGGGAUAUCAGAGUUCCUCGGUCUGUGCUUAUUCCAUUUUACUGUGUGAGCUAAAUCUCCAGUUCAUUUUUUGGCAGUUGUAAACGUUAAUCGAAAUGCCGUUUUAGGGACUUGCUGUACUGUUUUUAUGAUGUCCGGGAGAAGUUUAUGAUGGAAUUAACUCUCAUGCUGGUGAGGUGGGAAGGGAUGCUGGGUUAAGUAUAUCACUGCAUGUGAGCUGUGCAGCUGCACAGAACAUACUGGUCAAUCAUAACAGUUUUGACGUGCUUUUGUAAAACAAAAGGAAGGAAAAAGGAAGCCAGUGUUUUGAAUUGGCAAAAGGUCCUCUUAAAUAGCAGCCUUAAAAUUAUUUGCUUUGAUUAGUUUGUAUCUGCUGAAGACCAAAUAAACAAUUUGGGAUUUUGGUACAUGCUUUUCUCAUUUCUACUUCUAAAUAUAAAAAGUUCACAUUAACUGGGUAAGAAGUGUAUGGCAGGCAGGGUUUUGCUGUUUCCACAAUAGAGAAUCCCAUAGGAACAAUGAAUCAAAUGCAGAACCGAAGUAAACUUCGACUCCAGAAGACUCUGAAUGGCACAAGCCUGGAUGCAAAAUGUUCAGAGAAUUUUGAACAGGUAGUAGUAAACUGGAUAUAACUGUGGGUUAUUCCUGAUAUAGUAUAUGCAUCUGAUUUGGCACGAAUGAUUAUAAUUAAGGCUGGCUACGGGUGUUGAAGGAUGGCAUUGGAGUAGUUAUGGACCUGAUCAAAGAUAUACUACAGCAUCUGAGUAGUGGUCAAAAUGACUUUUUAAAAAGGAUUAGUCUGUCUCUAAAAAUCCAUAAACUGUUCACGGCUUUAAUUUUUAUUUGUCUCUAGUUAAAGACCUUGUUUCCUUUUUUUUUUUUUUCCCCACUAUUUAGACUAGUUUCAUCGUGUAUGCUUAAUGGAAUUACAAUCCUUUUCACUCCAUACAUUUUUCAGAAGAUUCAUGCAUUUUCAUACUAAUAACCUGUGCACUGCUAAAUAACCAAUGCCAGCCAUAGUACAGUUAAUCUUUCCCUAUUUCUGACAGAAUUAAUGGUAAGAACCAUUUUGCUACAGUUGAGUGUAAUUUCCUGUCUGGGGAUAUAACUAUUAGCUGACAAGAUAUUAAGCAAAUAUUGAAUAUUGCAUUGAGAAUGAAGCCUUCUAAACAGCUCCUAAAUUUGCAUAAAUCAUAUUAAUUAAUUAAUUUUCUGCUAAAAAUAAAACAUGCCCAAGCUGUGUUCAGCGUAAAAGUUUCCAGUCUGGUAGCAUCUUGGAAGGAGCAUAGCGGGAACCCUCGAAGCGGCAGACAAAUCGAAGACCCUCCUCAGUCUACGGCAGCAAACUGACUCAGAGCAGGAGCUCUGCCUGCCCUUGUGGCCAUUCCUGCCAGGCAGCUCGCUUUUCAGCCUGAGCUGGCAGGGAGGAGGAGGAGGGGCACGGGAGAAUCUUGGAAAUUAUUUUGACAUCCCCUGGGAUUCCCAAGUCUCUGCAGCAGACUUGUAACGCUCGGUAUGGUGCCUCUUGUUUAAUAAGCAAACCUAAGAGUAAGGUUUUCUUUGCAAAUAUUUAACAUCCCUGUUGUAGCUGUACGCGCCAGGAGCUGGAGAGGUGCUAAGCUCCCUUCCUUCCCAGGAAGAGGCAUACAUGCCAUAUCAGAGCAGGGAGAGCAGCACAAGCAAGAGCCUCUGAACGUUUUGCCAGGAAGUAGCUUUGCAGCUCUCACUGGUGUUAUGGUGCAGCCACAAGCCUGCGUCCCUACAGCCUGUUUGAGAAUUUAGGGAGCAGCUGGGGAGACAAUCAAAAGAUAAACUGAGCAGAGGAAGUGUACUUCGGUGUCUUUUCAUCUGGAUGUGCUGGAGUGUAUAGGGCAAGCAAAGGGCGAUGCAGGGACAGCAGGUCCUUUCAUCGCAGUGGGCCAAAAGGAUCUCAGGGCUUCAGUCCUCCUUUAACGUUUUUCCUCAUAUGGCUUGUAUCCUUGAAAAAGACUUCAGAGCUACCUGAAAAUGCCAUGUGACAAGGAGUCAAUUUACUAUGUUAUCAUUAAUAGCUCAAGCCUAGUGGCCAUCAAGAAGCCCCAGGAGACGCUGCCAAGUGGCACUACGCUGCCAGCCUAACCAUCCUGUCGUUCCUUUGAAUAGAGGCUGCCUUUGAAAAUGAGCAGCUUCAGCCACAGCAACUCUAUGGCAGCGGCUCCCGGCUUCCCAGAGCCCGCAGGCGCUGCGAGGAGCACAGCACCAGCCGGAUCAGAGCUCCUUUGAGCUGCAAGCCCUCCGCGUACACCAGCAGACUCGGGCCAGGCGGUACCUUCGUUCAGAGCAGUUCUUUGUGCCACGACAUGCCACACGGCAGGAUUGUCAUAGGGGGGGUUCACAGUAAUGUGCUUCUAACCUGGAGCUUUUGAAAUAGUGCCUGCCCAUCUCUGUCAAUAACCCUUCUUCUAGGGGAGCCUUUGGGGAUCUUUAUUUUAAUCUGAACUAUGUCCCUUUUGUUUUGGGGUCAGCUUUUAAUUCUCUGUCUUCAGUCGCUAUAUUGAUGCCUCUCCUGCGUGUCUCUGAACUUUCCUUUGGCUACCUGGAGACUCCUUGCUUAUUCUGAGACACAAUUUAAUCAUAUUAUUUGCCUGUCAUCUGACAGUGAUAUUUUCCUGUGCUUCAGGAUUUGUGCAAAAUGAGUUCUAGGUGGACUGGACCCAUCUUCCUGGGGGUUAGUUGCAUCUGAUGGAGUUUAAAAGAUAGUUUAAAGGACUCUGUCCAUUCUUAUGCUCCUAACAGCAUGCACAACACUCUCAUUAUGAAAUCUGGAUAGCCUGGGUUUGUUGGUUUUUUUUUCAUGGAUUAGCAUGUUUGCAUGCUUUAAAAGUGGUUGACAGCCUGGACGAUUGGGUUCAGGAAGAGCUUUUUGUUGCAGUUACUAACACUUCUAGAACCAAAACACUUCUGAGCUUUUAGAAAACAUUUUCACCAAUUCUUUUAUGCUUUCUUGAAGUUUUAGGAAAAGAAACCAAUUACCCAAACAAAACUACCUCCUUUUGAUCAAAAGCAUGGUGAUCUGGAACUGCUUCUGAGAAAGAGGAGACAAACCCAUCCAGCUUGGUAUACGAUCAUUGAUUUCCAGUGAUCUGUCCCUGUAUGACGAGGUGGAAGAGUGGAGUCAAUUCUGCACAAAAGAUACAGGCAUCAGCUGUGGCUUUUCAGAUUAGGCUUUUCAGCAGACGAGCAAUAAGCACCCUGCUGCUCCUGUGUUACCACUCCUGGCAAGACACAGAAUGUCAAUAAGGACACUGCCUCCGAAGUGCCGCAGCAAGGAAGGAACUACGGCUGCCUCGUGUGGAGUAUGCUGAGUUAGAGCCGGUCCAUCCCAGUAGCUGCUGACAAUCCAAGCAACAUGUUACUGACUCAUAAGUCUGUGUGAACAUCGUUCAGAAGGUGCAAGACAUUACUGUUACAGGGGUCAAUGAACAGAACAUAUGUUGAAAGAAGAAGCAGAAGAGCCCUGAAUGGUCAGGUCGGAUGAUCACCAUUCGGACUGAACUCUCUGAGCCUCUGCCUCUCUACUGACAUCAUAUGGCAUCUUUCAUCCCCAAAUAUCUCAUUGCUGAAUGCCUUGUAAAACUUGACCUGCCUUUCGACAAAUGACUUCAUGCCGUGCUGAAACACAGCUCCUCCAGGACUGCAAAGUGCUGCCCACUGAGGAGCGCGUUGCAGCAUGAACGAAGAUCAGAUGAAUCCUGCGUUGUCCGACAUGUUCCAGGAGACAUUUGGGUCAAGAUUUUGGGGCUGAACCUCCAUUCAAGCCACAAGGUUGAUUGUAUAGUUAAGGACAAGAGGUAUUCAUGAGAUCAGUUUUACACCUCCCCUGAAGCGUGCCAUCACUCCCAUCCUUUCUCAGGGUAUGGAAAUAUAGAAUCAUAGAAUCAUUUAGGUUGGAAAAGACCUUCGAGAUCAUCAAGUCCAACUGUUAACCUAGGACUGCCAAGUCCACCAUUAAACCACGUCCCUAAGCACCGCAUCUACGCAGGGUGUAAUGAGGUUGUUAGUUCAGUAUCACUAAUAACAGCUGAUCAUGUAAUUCUGCCAGGACCUGCAACUUUGUAGGUUUAUCUCGGAAGUUACUGAUUCUAACGCUAGUCCUUCCCCCAGCUGCCUUUUGCAAAUCGAUAAAAUCUCAGCUUUCAGUAACAAUAUGGUAAAAGUGCACUUUCUUUGUGCUGUGUAUCUUCUGCUGCUACACCAGUAACCAACCAUUUGUCAUAUAAUCAGAUCCUUGCUGAACUAUAUGCCAUCUGUGAUCAAAUGAACGAUGAAUAAAUUCAGACUGCAAUUUUAGCUAGCCUAUUUUUUGUUCAUAUUUCGUUCUUAGUAGAUUUGAGUCUUUUUGACCUUGUGAAAAAUGGCUGCGUUGGAACUAAAAAUGUGUUUUAUUUCUAGAUAAUGGACUAUGCCAACUUCCAUUUCUUUUGGAAUUCAAUAGAAACUGUUUGGUAUAUCAGAACAUUUUCUACAUCCUUAUUUACUUUUUCUUCCUUUCAGACUAUGCUCUUUGAUAUAGCUAAAACUCCAAUCUUUGCUCAUAUCUCCUGGCUCCAGCAAUUCUUUUUUGAUUUCCAUUGUUUUCCGUGUGGCAGGAACUCUUGCUGUCAUUUAGUUUUCCACUCGUGUAGCUAUGAGCUAACAAAUUACACCAAUU
Long non-coding RNA from Falco peregrinus (peregrine falcon), 6109 nucleotides. RefSeq lists it as uncharacterized. The record is from RefSeq and is a predicted model, not a curated record. NCBI's taxonomy places the organism in Eukaryota, Metazoa, Chordata, Aves, Falconiformes, Falconidae. The transcript has 8 exons.